This 362-nucleotide ribosomal RNA is filed under the name Benthosema pterotum (skinnycheek lanternfish). Its description in RNAcentral is "partial 12S ribosomal RNA". It matches the Rfam family "Bacterial small subunit ribosomal RNA", at positions 868 to 1395 of the family's 1533-position model. Lineage: Eukaryota; Metazoa; Chordata; Actinopteri; Myctophiformes; Myctophidae. The record is from RNAcentral.
UUCGCCAGGGGACUACAAGCAUUAGCUUCAAACCCAAAGGACUUGGCGGUGCUUUAGACCCACCUAGAGGAGCCUGUCCUAGAACCGAUAACCCCCGUUCAACCUCACCACUUCUUGCCCAACCCGCCUAUAUACCGCCGUCGUCAGCUUACCCUGUGAAGGACUAAUAGUAAGCUAAAUUGGCACAGCCCUAAACGUCAGGCCGAGGUGUAGCCUACGAAGUGUGCAAGAGAUGGGCUACAUUUUCUGACCCAGAAAACCACGGAAGAGAACCUGAAAUAAGUCUCCGAAGGAGGAUUUAGCAGUAAGCAGGGAAUAGAGCGCCCUGCUGAAACUGGCCCUUAAGCGCGUACACACCGCCC